Molecule: unclassified non-coding RNA, 402 nt
Filed under: soil metagenome
Description: partial contains 5.8S ribosomal RNA, internal transcribed spacer 2, and large subunit ribosomal RNA
Rfam family: 5.8S ribosomal RNA (bases 1-121)
Source: RNAcentral
GAUGAAGAACGCAGCGAAAUGCGAUAAGUAAUGUGAAUUGCAGAAUUCAGUGAAUCAUCGAAUCUUUGAACGCACCUUGCGCCCUUUGGCCAUUCCGAAGGGCAUGCCUGUUUGAGUAUCAUGAACACCUCAACUCUCAUGGCUCGCCAUGAUGAGCUUGGACUUUGGGGGUCUUGCUGGCCUGUGGUCGGCUCCUCUCAAAUGGAUCAGCUUGCCAGUGGUUGGUGGCAUCACAGGUGUGAUAACUAUCUGCGCUUGUGGUUUUCCAUCAGAUAACCUUCAGUGAUGGAGGUUCGCUGGAGCUCAUAAACGUCUCCCCUAAGCGGGGACAGCCCUUUGAAUGUUUGAUCUCAAAUCAGGUAGGACUACCCGCUGAACUUAAGCAUAUCAAUAAGCGGAGGA